This is a long non-coding RNA of Sapajus apella (tufted capuchin), 1103 nucleotides long. RefSeq lists it as uncharacterized. NCBI's taxonomy places the organism in Eukaryota, Metazoa, Chordata, Mammalia, Primates, Cebidae. The transcript has 3 exons. The record is from RefSeq and is a predicted model, not a curated record.
UCAACCAGGCUGUUGGAAGAUGUUGACUAGUUCCCAAUUGUUGCAAAAUCUGUGAAGAUCUAACAUCCCUGCAGAAAAUGCAUGUCCCAGUGACCUAAUGGUACCCAAGGGCCAGUCCCCUUCCUCGUGGCCCCCUUUAAUGAGCCUUGCAAGUCCAGGCAGGUUCUUGGGAUUCCCUUCGCCCCACACAGAUCUGAGAUUUGGACAUACAGCCAUGUACCACAUAAUGCUCUUUUUGGUCAACAUUCCACAUAUAUGACAGUGGUCCCAUAAGAUUAUAAUACCGCAUUUUUACUGUACCUUUUCAAUAUUCAACUACGUUUAGAUAUACAAGUACUACUGUGCUACAACUGCCUACAGUAUUCAGUGCAGUAACAUGCUUUACAGGUUUGUAGCCUAGGAGCAAGAGGCUCUACCAUCCAGCCCAGGUGUGUAGUCAGGUAUACCCUCUAGGUUUAAGUGAAUUCUGUGGUGUUCACACAGCAAUGAAAUUGCCUAAUAUGCGUUUCUCAGAAUGUAUCCUCAUUGUUAAGUGAUGCAUGACUGUAUAUUGGAUGUUCCUUGUGCCCUCAGCUGCCUUUUUCAGGUCCCCUAAAAAUUGUGAAGUCCUAGAACUGAAACCCCAACCAGCCAGAGGGCACUGAGCAUGAACCAUAGAAAACAUGACACCUGGCCCAACUCCACUUCAAGGUGUUAAAUUUGAUCUGGACAGCCCAACAAAGUCCAAGGCCCUGGGAAGCAGUGAAAAGCAGCAGCCUUGAAAGGCAGCCUCUGAGUGCUCCAAAGUCUCCUGUUUGAAGCAUGACGACUCCUGUUCCAGAAAAGACGGUAUCAGUAACUCUACAGACUAACAGAAGCUCCAGCAGGUGGGUCCCUCAUCCUUCGUGAAUUACCAGAUGGAAAGUCCGUAAAUAUAUACUCUCUGUGUGUCUUUUAGCUUCAGCCAGAACUAUGUCUCUUUCUCUUCAUGGCUCCCGACAGUACUGAAUCAUGGAAUCAGUCCAUCAAUUCAUCACCAUGUCUUUUAGCCUUCAAAGUAAACCAAGCUUGUCGCCUGAAAGUGAACCUUCCUUCAAAAUAUUUCUGUAUUUUGUUUUUUGAGA